UUGGGAGUUCAGAGCAGUGAAGGAGGGAGCUAAUAACUCCUCACUGUUGGAGCACUCCAGGCCUGGAAGGAAAGACGCAGAAGAGCAGUGUCAAUUGUUCAGGCAUGUAUGGAUCAGCUGCCUGCUUGCCUUUGUCACACAUGCAACUAGAAAACCGGAGGAGCUGGCUGAAGACAUUCUGUGCCCCCAUGGAAAAUCCAAGUGGCUUCAACCCACCUGCUGCCAUUUUUAAUUUUUUUAAUAUUGAUUAGGGCUUAUUCUACUGGGAACGCUUCCUUAACUGCAACAAGAUACAAGCUCAAAUUAAAUAACCCAUUGGCAAACUCCCUCUGAUCAACUCCUGCAAACAAUAGUGGUGUCCCAGACUGCUGCUUUUGGUAAAGCUGACUUCACUUUUAUUAGAUAGCCCACGUCUGACACUUUCCAUACAUUUGCUGGGGCCCAGUUUACAACAUGGAGAGUGGGUACCAUUGGCUAUGUGCCCAACGGCUUUGCCACUGACCUCCACAGCUUCCUGGAAGCCUGGUGCAAAGUGCAGUCAAUGCUGCCUCUGGCUUCAGGGCUCCCUCACAGGCCUUUACACCCCAAUAAAGGGCUGAGAUGAAUAUUUUUAAGGUGUGAUUUUCUUGUUCAAAAAUUGCAGUUUCAGCGGGGUGCUAAUAUUUCACAAGCUACAUUGUGGGCAAAUAUUCUUUUUGGAUUAUUCAUCUGGCAACAGAACAUGUCUCUCCCAUAGCUGUCUCUGCAGCUUCAACAGGCGCAAUUCUCUGACGCUUUGACUUCACCUCCAAGGCGCAGUCUUCCACUGUCUCUCAAGGCAGGUGGAUGCCAACCAACCAGGGCCAUUGUUUUCUCUGACUGCCACUGCUGCUUUUGCGCCAUUUUCUCAUGGACUGUUCCUUCUUUCUUGUUCCUGGAUCAGUCACACCCCAAACAAUCAGGGAUCUCAUUGUGAAAGGGAGGAUUUCAUAAUCCUGCAUUCCCAAUCACUUUGGGCCUCAUGAUAACAUCACUCAGGGUAGGCAGUUAACUGAGUUUAAGGACAAUAUCUCCUGCAUCAGUCACCUGGGCAGUCCCAGCCAACCAGGCACCAUGCACUGAACAGGAAGAUAUCAAAAUGCUACGGAGGCAACCAGCUUUAGUUGCAUGAAGAUGCCAUUGAGGGUGGGCAGAAUCAGUCAAGGAUGAUGAAAACCAGUAAGGAUAAGCGGAUGGACUCAAGGAUUGUAGAAAAUAAUGAAACGGAGGCUGGCUGCUUUUCAGGGCAGGUGCCAGGAUCUUGCGGGCUCUUUGGCUGGGCACUGCCAGGCUCAAACUACUUAUGGCAUCUUGUUGGAAGAUUCAAUACAGACAGCACAGAGUUAAAGUAUGGCUCUCCCUCCCACAGGAGGCGGUGAGGGCCACCAACUUGGAGGGCUUUCAAAGAGGACUGGACAAAUUCAUGGAAGAGAUGGCUAUCUAUGGCUAUCAAUGGCUAUCAAUGGCUGCCAGCUAUGAAGGCCAUGUUCUGCCUCCAGAGUUGGAGGUGCUAAGUGUUAGUUUCUGUUUGGCACUGAGCAGCUGCUUAGAGUCACAAGGCUCUGUUUACAUUCCAGAGACAGUCCAGGCUAUUGGAAGUCUCAUGGGAGACUAGAGACGGAUGUGACGUACUGGUUUCCUGUUUCCUUUGUUCCUUUGUUGUUCAGUUGCUCUCUGCUUUCAUAGAGAGAGGGUGUAUAUUUCUUUGUUGUCUGCGUAGUAAGAAAUAAAGCAUAGAGAUGUAGCCAUAAAUCUCAUCACUUCCCUGUGCUGGAUUCUCUGCUGAAUGGGGGAGCGUGCCUGAGGCCUUAUCAAAGGCUCAGGUCGUUAAUUAUUCAUCGGAGGGCAAUUCCGAAGGCUCGGCCGGAAAAUGAGCUUUAUCAGCUUGGCCGAGUGGAGAUUACAACACUAAGGUUUCUGAAAACCAUUUGAAUCCUGUUUGUGGGUUUCCCAUAGGCAUCUGGGUGACCACUGUGAGAACAGAAGGCUGGACUAGAUGGGCCAUUGGACUGACCCAGAAGACUCUUCUUAUGUUCUUAUAUGGCAUUAAUAUGCAUGGCAUUAAUCCACUAGUCCAGGGGUCUGCAACCUUUAAGACAAAAAGAGCCACUUGGAACCGUUUCCGAAGGGAAAAAAACUGGGAGCCGCAAAACUCGUCAUUAUAAAAAUAACUUUUUUGUCACUUUUUUAUUAUUUCUUUGUUUGACCCCUCAGAAUUACUCCUCCUCAUAGAAAUAAACGUUAAAUUGACAAGUUA
Podarcis raffonei (Aeolian wall lizard) is the source of this 2275-nucleotide long non-coding RNA. RefSeq lists it as uncharacterized. The record is from RefSeq and is a predicted model, not a curated record. The transcript has 2 exons. NCBI's taxonomy places the organism in Eukaryota, Metazoa, Chordata, Lepidosauria, Squamata, Lacertidae.